Molecule: unclassified non-coding RNA, 218 nt
Filed under: uncultured Borreliella sp.
Lineage: Bacteria; Pseudomonadati; Spirochaetota; Spirochaetia; Spirochaetales; Borreliaceae
Description: partial 5S-23S ribosomal RNA intergenic spacer
Source: RNAcentral
AGUAAGUUAUUGCCAGGGUUUUUAUUUUAUACUUUAAACAUUGAUUUUAUUUUUUAUAUUUUUAGAUGUUCAUGUUUUUGAAUGUUUUAUUUUAAUAAUAUAAAAAAUAAAAUAUAUAUUGACAUGGAUUAAACAAAGAUAUAUAUUAUUCUAUGUUGCAUAAGCAAAUUGGCAAAAUAGAGAUGGAAGAUAAAAAUAUGGUCAAAGUAAUAAGAGUC